RNAcentral lists this long non-coding RNA (493 nucleotides) under Homo sapiens (human). Its description in RNAcentral is "HSALNT0238806". Lineage: Eukaryota; Metazoa; Chordata; Mammalia; Primates; Hominidae. The record is from RNAcentral.
AGCAGAAAGAGCUACAGCAGGGAGAAAAGGAUCUUUGCUGAUGUUGAACAUCAACAGGUCCAGGCCUGAGCGGAUUCACGCAUGACGUCUCCCUGGACACAGGGAUGGGUUCACAAAGGGGUUGGACAUUACACCCUGGUGCUGAAGAGAUCGCUGCCGGAAGAGGCUGUCUUCCUGGGCAUGUUGUCAUAGCAAACGGAAACCUAACAGAGACACUGUAAAGGCUACUAUUCCAAUUUUUCUGGAAUUAGUGCUGGGAGAACCCUGACAGAGCCCUUCUCCUCUUCUGUCUUCGAUAGCCGGGGGCGGGCCGACCCAGCACGCAGGAGGCUUGCACCGCAAAGCCUUCUCGCUGAACCAGGCAGCAGAUCCAUCCCACGGGGCUUCCUCCCACGUGAGAAACGUAGGAAAAGACGCUGCAAAUCAAAGACGACCACCCUGGAGAAGCAGGAGAAACUCCCCAACUUGAGUGAAUGUAUCAACAUUUCAGAAA